RNAcentral lists this transfer RNA (69 nucleotides) under Triticum aestivum (bread wheat). It matches the Rfam family "tRNA". From Rfam's summary of the family: Transfer RNA (tRNA) molecules are approximately 80 nucleotides in length. Their secondary structure includes four short double-helical elements and three loops (D, anti-codon, and T loops). Lineage: Eukaryota; Viridiplantae; Streptophyta; Magnoliopsida; Poales; Poaceae. RNAcentral also lists the same sequence under 1 other name. The record is from Rfam by way of RNAcentral.
UCCAUUUCUCAGUUGGUAGAGCACAAGACUCUUAACCUUGUGGUCAUGGGUUCAAGACCUAUGAUGGAG